This 333-nucleotide ribosomal RNA is filed under the name uncultured bacterium. RNAcentral's name for it is "bacterial SSU rRNA". It matches the Rfam family "Bacterial small subunit ribosomal RNA", at positions 28 to 334 of the family's 1533-position model. The record is from RNAcentral.
GAUGAACGCUGGCGGCGUGCUUAACGCAUGCAAGUCGAACGGAGUUUACAUGUGAGCGGAGGGUGCUUGCAUCUAACAAUCUUUUGUAAACUUAGUGGCGGACGGGUGAGUAACGCGUGGGUAACCUGCCGUAUACAGGGGGACAACAGUUGGAAACGACUGCUAAUACCGCAUAACCCGCUAGGGCCGCAUGGCCCGGACGGAAAAGAUUUAUCGGUACGAGAUGGACCCGCGUCUGAUUAGCUAGUUGGUGAGGUAACGGCCCACCAAGGCGACGAUCAGUAGCCGGCCUGAGAGGGUGACCGGCCACAUUGGGACUGAGGCACGGCCCAA